ACGUUUUCCACUGGUUCAUAGGGUUUUAUACCCCUUUCUAUAAUCUAGUUUGCUUUAAAAACCCUCAACAGAGAAUAAAUAUUUUAAGAACUAUUUGUAUUUAGGGCUUGCUAUAAAAGUUCAAAAAAAUUGGAUAAAAGCUUAGAUUCAAAAUAUGUACUAAAACUAAUUCUCGGAUUAAACGUAGAUGGGCCAUACAACGCCAAUUGAGAUAUACUAUGACAAAAUAAUAAUUUAACUACUAGAAGUAUGAGUAAGGGCCAAAAACCGCGAAAUUGGUAACAUAAAGAAAUGAUUGUCCAUUUUACUUUUAUUUCACGUCGGCUAGUGAGCGGUAGUGAGUCCAGUGAUCUCCGUUUAAUUUUUCUUUUUCUGAGUUCGAGUAUUAUUAGAAUCACCAAGGGCGAACACACGGCUCCUGUGCGUUCUUAAUUCUAUUCAAAAGCGUCCAACGGGCGCUUUUUUUAUACGGGCAUAAAGCUCGUCAGUUUCCGCCAUCUUUUCGGCCACCGUGCCAGCUGUGCACUCUCGGUGUGGAUUUCCGCUAGGCCCGCCAGUUUCCUGGUAGCCAAACGGGGUGAGAGGAUUAUUACUGGCCUGCUUGCGUUCGUUCGCGGACGAUCUGGUAGAGUACCGGUCUCGCCGACACCCUCCCCCGCAACUUUAACUCGGCCUGAAGAAGCGACGAUUUCCCUGGCAACACCGACCGCCUCGAGGCAUCCGGGCCCGACCGCCCCUGGUGACGAGAACAGCUACACCGUCCCACAUCAGGUCAUCGCACACCAUCCGUGCACCCCCGGUUGACGAACCGAAUGUUGGUAGCAUAAAACCCUGCGCAGGUAUGUUUCGCCAUGGCCAAUAUACACUCACAACACAUACACUGAUACACACACGAAAGGAAGAUGAAUGAAUACAUGUAAAUGAAUCCAGCAUAAAUUACCUUUUUAUAUUCAUUUCAUACGCCAAGAUCCCUGUGGUAUCUCAGUCCGCCUGGGUGAUACUGUGUUGAGUUCGCUUUAGUUUUACGUUCACUUCAGGCACGUUUGUGAUCUGGCACAAUCUAC
Molecule: long non-coding RNA, 1064 nt
Organism: Armigeres subalbatus
Lineage: Eukaryota; Metazoa; Arthropoda; Insecta; Diptera; Culicidae
Exons: 3
Source: RefSeq, a predicted model, not a curated record